RNAcentral lists this unclassified non-coding RNA (432 nucleotides) under soil metagenome. RNAcentral describes it as "partial contains 5.8S ribosomal RNA, internal transcribed spacer 2, and large subunit ribosomal RNA". The stretch from base 1 to 120 matches the Rfam family "5.8S ribosomal RNA", at positions 35 to 154 of the family's 154-position model. The record is from RNAcentral.
GAUGAAGAACGUAGCGAAAUGCGAUACGUAAUGUGAAUUGCAGAAUUCAGUGAAUCAUCGAAUCUUUGAACGCAUAUUGCGCUCUCUGGUAUUCCGGAGAGCAUGCUUGUUUGAGUAUCAGUAAACACCUCAACUUCCAUAUCUUUUUUGAAAUGGGAGUUGGACUUGAGUGAUCCCAACGCUUUUCCUCACCGAAAAGUGGCGGGUUACUUGAAAUGCAGGUGCAGCUGGACUUUUCUCUGAGCUAUAAGCAUAUCUAUUUAGUCUGCCUAAAAAACAGAUUAUUACCUUUGCUGCAGCUAACAUAAAGGAGAUUAGUUCUUGUGCUGACUGAUGCAGGAUUAACAAAGACAGCUUCGGCCGACUUUGUAAACUCGAUCUCAAAUCAAGUAAGACUACCCGCUGAACUUAAGCAUAUCAAUAAGCGGAGGA